RNAcentral lists this ribosomal RNA (253 nucleotides) under uncultured bacterium. RNAcentral describes it as "partial 16S ribosomal RNA". It matches the Rfam family "Bacterial small subunit ribosomal RNA", at positions 524 to 776 of the family's 1533-position model. The record is from RNAcentral.
UACAGAGGGGGCAAGCGUUGUUCGGAAUUACUGGGCGUAAAGGGCGCGUAGGCGGCCUGUUAAGUCGAACGUGAAAUCCCCGGGCUCAACCCGGGAACUGCGUCCGAUACUGGCAGGCUUGAAUCCGGGAGAGGGAUGCGGAAUUCCAGGUGUAGCGGUGAAAUGCGUAGAGAUCCGGAGGAACACCAGCGGCGAAGGCGGCGUCCUGGACUGGUACUGACGCUCAGGAGCGAAAGCGUGGGGAGCGAUCCGG